UGAGGUGUGCUCAGUGGUAGAGUAUUUGUUUUGCAUGUAUAAGAACCUGGGUUCAAUCCCCAGCACUGCAA
RNAcentral lists this transfer RNA (71 nucleotides) under Ictidomys tridecemlineatus (thirteen-lined ground squirrel). RNAcentral describes it as "Spermophilus tridecemlineatus (thirteen-lined ground squirrel) tRNA". It matches the Rfam family "tRNA". Rfam says of the family: Transfer RNA (tRNA) molecules are approximately 80 nucleotides in length. Their secondary structure includes four short double-helical elements and three loops (D, anti-codon, and T loops). Lineage: Eukaryota; Metazoa; Chordata; Mammalia; Rodentia; Sciuridae. The record is from Rfam by way of RNAcentral.